Molecule: ribosomal RNA, 697 nt
Filed under: uncultured bacterium
Lineage: Bacteria
Description: bacterial SSU rRNA
Rfam family: Bacterial small subunit ribosomal RNA
Source: RNAcentral
GGUAAACGAUGGAUGCCCGCCGUUGGGUAUUUUUAUUCAGUGGCCAAGCGAAAGCGUUAAGCAUCCCACCUGGGGAGUACGCCGGCAACGGUGAAACUCAAAGGAAUUGACGGGGGCCCGCACAAGCGGAGGAACAUGUGGUUUAAUUCGAAGCAACGCGAAGAACCUUACCAAGUCUUGACAUCCCUCUGAAUGGGGGGCAAAGCCCCCAGGCCUUCGGGACAAAGGAGACAGGUGGUGCAUGGUUGUCGUCAGCUCGUGUCGUGAGAUGUUGGGUUAAGUCCCGCAACGAGCGCAACCCUUAUCCCCGGUAGCCAGCACGCAGCGGUGGGCACUCUGGAGGGACUGCCAGGGACAACUUGGAGGAAGGUGGGGAUGACGUCAAAUCAUCAUGCCCCUUAUGGCUUGGGCUACACACGUGCUACAAUGGCGUAAACAAAGGGAAGCAGCCCCGUGAGGGUGAGCAAACCCCAAAAAUAACGUCCCAGUUCGGAUCGUAGUCUGCAACCCGACUACAUGAAGCUGGAAUCGCUAGUAAUCGCGAAUCAGCAUGUCGCGGUGAAUACGUUCCCGGGUCUUGUACACACCGCCCGUCACACCAUGGGAGUUGGUAACGCCCGAAGUCAGUGACCUAACCGCAAGGGAGGAGCUGCCGAAGGUGGGACCAGUAACUGGGGUGAAGUCGUAACAAGGUACC